RNAcentral lists this ribosomal RNA (465 nucleotides) under uncultured bacterium. RNAcentral's name for it is "partial 16S ribosomal RNA". It matches the Rfam family "Bacterial small subunit ribosomal RNA", at positions 29 to 507 of the family's 1533-position model. The record is from RNAcentral.
AUGAACGCUGGCGGCGUGCUUAACACAUGCCGGUCGAACGAUGAAGCUCAGCUUGCUGGGUGGAUUAGUGGCGAACGGGUGAGUAACACGUGAGUAACCUGCCCUUAACUCUGGGAUAAGCCUGGGAAACUAGGUCUAAUACCGGAUAGGAGCGCCUACCGCAUGGUGGGUGUUGGAAAGAUUUAUCGGUUUUGGAUGGACUCGCGGCCUAUCAGCUUGUUGGUGAGGUAAUGGCUCACCAAGGCGACGACGGGUAGCCGGCCUGAGAGGGUGACCGGCCACACUGGGACUGAGACACGGCCCAGACUCCUACGGGAGGCAGCAGUGGGGAAUAUUGCACAAUGGGCGAAAGCCUGAUGCAGCGACGCCGCGUGAGGGAUGACGGCCUUCGGGUUGUAAACCUCUUUCAGUAGGGAAGAAGCGAAAGUGACGGUACCUGCAGAAGAAGCACCGGCUAACUACGUG